Molecule: long non-coding RNA, 220 nt
Filed under: Carica papaya (papaya)
Lineage: Eukaryota; Viridiplantae; Streptophyta; Magnoliopsida; Brassicales; Caricaceae
Description: long non-coding RNA (CPAP_LNC000285)
Source: RNAcentral
UCAACCUAUAGAGAUAUAAUGAUUCAAGUAACAUUCUAAUAUCAUUUUCAAGUGAGCAAUAGCAACCACUUUUCUCUUUUGUUUACUUACUGGUAUUCCUGGAGUCCCAUAAGAAUGUCCCAUUAUGCGUGAACCAAUAUUCAACAUUAUCAACUAACCGGUCAUCCCCAUACUCCAUCCGGUAUAAGCACCAAAAAUAUCAUCUUUUAAUACCCCGUCG